This 716-nucleotide long non-coding RNA is filed under the name Danio rerio (zebrafish). RNAcentral's name for it is "cadherin 8 (ENSDARG00000098435.2)". Lineage: Eukaryota; Metazoa; Chordata; Actinopteri; Cypriniformes; Danionidae. The record is from RNAcentral.
GUUUUCAUUUCAUUAUCCUGUUUUACAGCGCCAGUUUGAAUGGGGCAGGAGGCACUGGCUUGGAAUCAUUCCAGAAACCUUUCUCAAGCAGCUGAAUAUUCGUCUUCAUUAGGGCAUCAUCACCCCACCACACUCCAGUGCUGAUUCCUGUUAACACAGAGCGAAUGUGCAAAACGGGUGUUGGGGGAGGCCACAUGACGGGGAUGAGGCGAGGAGAAAGGUGGAAUACUGAACGAAUGACAGAGUUUGGGAGGACAGGACAAGCUUCAACGAGAUUAUGAAGGACGCACUGAUCUCAUUGCUCAUCUGCUCCAGCAACGUGCCCCUCGUACUGAUACAGAGAGACAUGAAGUGCUGAAGAAAUCAAGGACAUUAGCAAAGGAAGUGUCUUUGAUCCGUUUUAUCUUUUAUUCCCCCAGUGUUUGGCUCCUAGACGAUUAAUGAAUGGGCUAAUCAUUUAAAGGAUUUCUGGACACAGAUUAAUUGUACACCUUCACAAUAAAAGCAAAGACAAACAGCCGGGACCCAGAAUUGUCCGUUUUGUGGAGAAUGCCCAGCUCUUGGUCUCUGAAAACCUUCAAGUGCUUCCAAAUCAUCUUUCAAAAUUCAGCUGGACCUGUCUUCCACCUGAGCUGUGCUCUACAUGACCUCGUCUAUCCUCUCUGCACUGGACAUCACAGACACUGCACUUGCUGGUAUGACUUCCUUACUGGUAG